AACUUUUGGCAAUGGAUCACUUGGCUCUCCCAUCGAUGAAGAACGCAGCGAAAUGCGAUAAGUAAUGUGAAUUGCAGAAUUCAGUGAAUCAUCGAAUCGUUGAACGCACCUUGCGCCCUUUGGGAUUCCGAAAGGCAUGCCUGUUUGAGUGUCAUUAAAUUAUCGACCUUGCUUGCUUUUACUAGCUCGCUCGGCUUGGAUGUGAGGGCUGCUGGCUUCCUUCAGUGGAUGGUCUGCUCCCUUUAAAUGCAUUAGUGGGAUCUCUUGUGGACCGUCACUUGGUGUGAUAAUUAUCUAUGCCAGUUGACUUUGAAGCAAACUUAUGGGAACCUGCUUAUAACCGUCCUUCGGGACAACUUUAACAUUUUGACCUCAAAUCAGGUAGGACUACCCGCUGAACUUAAGCAUAUCAAUAAGCGGAGGCU
This 425-nucleotide unclassified non-coding RNA is filed under the name uncultured Mycena. Its description in RNAcentral is "sequence contains ITS2". The stretch from base 1 to 154 matches the Rfam family "5.8S ribosomal RNA". The record is from RNAcentral. Lineage: Eukaryota; Fungi; Basidiomycota; Agaricomycetes; Agaricales; Tricholomataceae.